GCAUUUUUGUGUUUGGUUUUUGUGUUUUGGCGUGGAAUUGGAAUGCGCCGACUUUUUCACAGGUUGGCCCUUCUAAAAUGUAGUUCUUGGCUGUCACCUAACACAGCAGUUUGGCCUAAUAGUUUUGGCAUUUCUUGUCAAAUCUUUGGCUAACAUUUGCUCCAGGAGUCAGUCUUGAUGAUACAGAAAAACUCUUUCAAA
This 201-nucleotide unclassified non-coding RNA is filed under the name uncultured fungus. RNAcentral describes it as "sequence contains ITS2". Lineage: Eukaryota; Fungi. The record is from RNAcentral.